This 465-nucleotide ribosomal RNA is filed under the name uncultured Klebsiella sp. Its description in RNAcentral is "bacterial SSU rRNA". It matches the Rfam family "Bacterial small subunit ribosomal RNA", at positions 338 to 795 of the family's 1533-position model. Lineage: Bacteria; Pseudomonadati; Pseudomonadota; Gammaproteobacteria; Enterobacterales; Enterobacteriaceae. The record is from RNAcentral.
CCUACGGGCGGCUGCAGUGGGGAAUAUUGCACAAUGGGCGCAAGCCUGAUGCAGCCAUGCCGCGUGUGUGAAGAAGGCCUUCGGGUUGUAAAGCACUUUCAGCGGGGAGGAAGGCGUUAAGGUUAAUAACCUUGUCGAUUGACGUUACCCGCAGAAGAAGCACCGGCUGACUCCGUGCCAGCAGCCGCGGUAAUACGGAGGGUGCAAGCGUUAAUCGGAAUUACUGGGCGUAAAGCGCACGCAGGCGGUCUGUCAAGUCGGAUGUGAAAUCCCCGGGCUCAACCUGGGAACUGCAUUCGAAACUGGCAGGCUAGAGUCUUGUAGAGGGGGGUAGAAUUCCAGGUGUAGCGGUGAAAUGCGUAGAGAUCUGGAGGAAUACCGGUGGCGAAGGCGGCCCCCUGGACAAAGACUGACGCUCAGGUGCGAAAGCGUGGGGAGCAAACAGGAUUAGAUACCCGGGUAGUC